Molecule: long non-coding RNA, 175 nt
Organism: Erpetoichthys calabaricus (reedfish)
Lineage: Eukaryota; Metazoa; Chordata; Cladistia; Polypteriformes; Polypteridae
Exons: 2
Source: RefSeq, a predicted model, not a curated record
CCCACACCGAAAUCCGCAAAAGCCAAACAAAACAUCUCCAUUUGUAAUUACGAUGGGUUGUCACCCUCCUCUCACUGUUAUGCAUGAAAUUCAAGCUCUAAGCCUUAAAUUUGCAUACUUUUAAUUACAUAUCAAUUGACAUGGGUAAGAAGAAUUAAAGACACACAUGCAUACA